AAGGCGACGCUACAAAAGAUGUGCGAUAACGUCUGCGUGGUCUUUGCUGGGUUCGCCUGCCAGAACGUGUCUGUCUGCUUGGCUGCUGCUUGCUGCGACAAUUGCACGUGACGCUUUUCGCGAAAGGGCGAUCUGAAGUGCGUCAUGCCGACCAUAGUCAAGUACUACGGGAAUUACUGCUGUGUUGCGAGGUGCAGUAACAACGGCAGGACAGGGAGAGAGCGUGGUUGGCUGACAACUGCAGUGUGCAGCCUUCAUUCCUUGUUUGCUAUGCAUCCCGAAACUACCACUUAAUAAGAACGGUUAGGCUUCAAAUGACGAGCG
Molecule: long non-coding RNA, 324 nt
Organism: Dermacentor silvarum
Lineage: Eukaryota; Metazoa; Arthropoda; Arachnida; Ixodida; Ixodidae
Exons: 3
Source: RefSeq, a predicted model, not a curated record